This 10666-nucleotide long non-coding RNA is filed under the name Musa acuminata (dwarf banana). Its description in RNAcentral is "long non-coding RNA (MACU_LNC000446)". Lineage: Eukaryota; Viridiplantae; Streptophyta; Magnoliopsida; Zingiberales; Musaceae. The record is from RNAcentral.
GCUUGGUGAAUUAUGCUGUUGCAGCUUAGUAGUCUUACUUGUGCUGCCUAAAAUACAUGUCAAGGUAGGGGACACAGUCAAACUUAUCACAGGCCAUGAGAAAGGUAAGAAUGGGAAGAUAGCAUACGAACAGCAGUUUGUGAAGGUUGGCGUUCUCCUUCCUAGAAUUUAUAUUUGUAAAUGGAUAGGUGGCAGGAUCAAAAAAUUUCUUCUCUUGGACUGGUAUUUCCUUCUUUUCCCUUCUCUCCCCAGGUGCAGUGCCUGAAGUUGACCUGCACUAUGAAUAGUUACGAAACAGAUCGAAGCACCUAACCAUAGCUCAAUUCUGAUGCUUUAUUCUAAGAAAAAAAACAGAUGUAGCAAGCAGAGUGGGUCAUGAAAUCUUCGAGGAGAAUAGGAGGAGAAUUGCAACCCUUCCACAUAUUAGGAACGGGUCGGCACUAAGAAGAAUGGUGAAUUAGUAUAACGGUAAAAAUUACAUCUUCAACAAACUUUUCGUUGCGAUAAAACCGAUUUCAUAAAGAUGUUAACUUGAAAUUGUACAAAAAUGUAGUGAAGGAGGAAUUCAGUUUGUAGUAAGGUAAAUAGCAAGAAUAAAACGUAAACCAGAUUUUAGAGUGGUUCGGUCGUCGUGACCUACAUCCACUUUGCCGAUUCCUCUUUCGUUGAUGCCACUAGCAUCCAUUAUUGAUCUUCUUUCAAUGGGCGAAGAUCAACUAUCCUUUUACACCCCUUUUCUCUUUUUUACGGGUUUAAGAGACAACCUUUACAAGCACUCACUCCUCUCCUACAGAAUUCUAAACUUAGAGUGGAGGAGGAAAUUUCUAAAGAGAUUGCAGCAGCGUUUCUUCACUUUUAAACUCUCUGUGCUUGUGUGCUUUAACCAAGGAUGAGAGGCGUAUUUAUAGGCUUCAAGUUGAUUCAAACUUGGAGCCUAAAAACAUCUCAUCCCAAGUUUCUCGAGCACGGGCGGUACCACCGCUAGUGUCAGUCUAACACUGGGCAGUACCAUUGCUUGGAGACUGUGCUGGGCGGUACUACCGCCCAGACUGGUGGUACCACCGCCUACAACCUCUCGGAGGCUGUGUUUGGGCGGUACCACCGCUUGACAUAGUCUCGGAGAUUGUGCCACGACAACGGUGCCACCUCAUGGGUCACUGUUUGGGCCUCUCAUUGAGUCCAAUACAAUCCUUACAUGGGCCCAACUAGCCCCUAAUUGGGUUGGCCCAAAUCUAAACCCAAUUACGUGCUAACUACGAUUCCUAAGACAUAUUCUAAGCUAAACAAGUCCGUGAGUCUAGUUUCUUUCGGCGAUCUUCUGGUGAACUUUCGAUGAUCUCUCGACAAUGUUCCGGCGAACUCCUGGCAAGCUCCUAGACUUCACGACGAUCUUCUUGGCGAGUUCCGAUGAGCUUCUCUGGCAAGCUCUGAGACUUUUCGGCUGGUUCCGAUAAAACUUCCGACGAACGUCCAGACUUCCGACGAACUCUCGAUCUCCCAACGAAAUAAUGUCCUUGACUCCGGGACUUCAUUUUGCUUCAUGCCUUGCUAUCGUAGUUAAUCCUACACAUGUAAAACACACUUCGAUCUAGACAAUUAAUAUUAAGUAUCGAAUCAUGUUGUCCGACAUGUCAUUGGUCCAUCGACGCUUCGUCCGAUCCUUCGAUGCUUUGUCCGAUCCUUCGACGCAUCGUCCUCUCUUGCGGCCUAUUGUCCAAUCAGCCAGUUGACUCCGCAACUUCGAUAUCUUUGGCGUAAUAUUUUCUCUUAUUGGCUCGAUGUCCGAAUCUAUAGCUUGAAGCCUUCUGUCGAUACGUCGAUCGAUCCACCGGUUCGACGUCCAAUCUUUUGACAUAUUUUCUCCCGGCCCAGCAUAAUUCUUCCUGCUUUAAUUGUCUCAUCCUGAUCGAAGUAUCCUGCGUCACUCAAAACGUAUAUUAAAUUAUAAACACUUAUCAAUUGAUUUCAUCAUCAAAAUCCAAGAUUCAACACCACCUUCCACCUUCCGUCGGUAAAAGAAGCUCACUCAUAUGAGAUAAGAUAAGGAGAGAGAGCCAUAUGAAUAGGGAGACUCAAACAAAAAGAUACGAUAACCUCAUGUAAAGUUUCUUUACUCUAAAUCUAAUUAGAAUUACUUUCUUUCUUCUUUGUCUGGAGGCCCUGUUUUGUAGGUUUCGCUGAGAGGAAUCACUCUCGAGCGCUAUUUCGUACUGAUUCUUGGAUCGAUAAAGCUCUUCUUAGAUUGUCUUACCAAAUUUUUGGGCCGACAAAGCCCUUCUGAUAUUGCCUUACGAUACAAAAUUUACAAAAGGAAUCCAAUUGUUUUCAUUCGUCACCGUGACGGAUGACUUAUACAUGAUUCGAUAACCUCAUCAAAUAUAUAUUUAAUAUAGAUAAAAUAUCAGCAAUAGAAUGUUACAUCAAUGCAUACCACCUCUGGAAACAAUCUUUUCUAGUUGUUUUAUGAAUGGGUAAGACGAAACUGACAAAUCAUUUCCAAAUCAAAUUUCACUUAUAGUCAGGUCAAACCAAAAUAAUCAUAAUUUUAUGGUUAGGAGUGGCUUUUACCUUAAAUUAGAGAUGCCAUCCAUAUUAAUACAACUAAAAGAUCUCUCAAGCAGUAGAUUAGUACGUAGAUGGAGAAUAGCGGGUAUUGCUAAAUGGAGUAUAUACAAAUGUAAGUUCUCACAAGCAGUGCCGUAAUCACUAGAGUAAUGCUAAAAGUAAUGAUAUGCCAUGAACACAACUUCACCUAACAUACUGAUGUAUAAGAAGGCUAACUUAGGAGGCACUAAUAAUAUCACAUUGACCAAGGAAGAGUUGCCUUUUCGUGUUCAAUUUGACAAGUUCAUGUGCCAAAAAAAAGAAACACUAUCGAAUAUUUCAGAAAAGCAAGUGAGCUAUCGAGGAUAAGCCAUUAAAUGGUGUGUUAGGCCAAAUAGAUCAAAUAGGCACCCCUCCUCGCAUUUUCUAACGGAGUCUAUUUCUUCCAACUGGAAGGUCCCAAUAAGUUAAUCUCAUAUAUCGAUUGAAAAGCAGAAAAGCUAAUAUUUUUAUAUUUGUCCUUUGGGGCCAUCUAUAAUGGAUAAAAAGUCCAUCCAAAAUAAACAAUUCCUACGACCUCAAAUCUAAUAUUUUUAUUCUUCUAAUACAACAUUUAUCUAAAACAGUUGGAGGGUUUAAUAAAAUUGAUACUCACCAAGCUAAGAAAUUGAAAUCCUCUAAAAAUCUCUCUCUGCAAUUCCACAUCCCUCUCUUGGUCCAGUCCUUGCGUGCAAGCAUGCACUCGACGUACUCCCUAACGUACCCCCAACAAUUCCUGACUUCCCUAACGCUUACAUAGCAACAAGAACACAUGAAAGGCAUGCCUUUUCUUUAACAAUGUGAUGAACAUAGACUUGCCUUCUUAACAUUCAUUUAUUUAUAUGCAGCCAUCUUUUACAACAAGUUAGGUUGGCUUUGCUUCGUCAAACAUCCAAUCCCACAGGGACCCCCAUUCAUUGUGUUGGACUUCUUCAAGACGCAACACAUGUAUUCUAUGUUGUUUACAAGGUCAGCAGUCAAAUUGCCUCUUACACCCUUCCACGAAGGCUUAUCUGCACUAUAAUAUUAAAACAAAAUCUAACCAGGAUUUUGGUUAAAAAAUAAUAAAUUUCAUUUAAAAUUAAAAAAAAAAGGUUUAGAAAAAUAAAACCCAAAGACGCCAAAGCAAUUCCAACCACAAAACAGAACUGAGGCCCCCUCUUAUCUAACCACAAAACAUCAUGAACGAACAUGAAGACAAAUAAAUACGCCUUCUGCUUUUUCUAGACUUUGUUGGUAGCGACUGACUACAUAAACAAGAGGGCCUAAAUACUCUUCGUAUAGAGGUCCAAUGAUUACAUGAUUGGGGCUUUAAUAGUCUCAAUCACUAAAAUAUUCACGGCUCCAAGAUAGAUUAAUCGAUGGGACUUAAUAAGUUUAAGGUCGCACCCUUAAGACUUUCUUGCCCGCCCAUUCAAGCCCCAAAGAGUCUGUGAAGGGAAGGCAAACAUCCUACUUGUGGGACUAAAAACUCAUGCAAAACAGAGAAGAGAAUAAUAAAAAGGAAAGAGAAAAGGAGAGAAGAAAAUUUUAUGGUAUAAUACUUAUGAAAGCACGUGUGUUACGGGGAAAUUAAGCUCGUUUAAACCAAAGGAAAGAUGUGGCAUGUUCCUUGACACAUCUUCCUUACACCUCAGGUCAUGUCGACCUUAUCGGUGAACUGCACACGUCAGAGGCAGGUGUGAUAUAGAAAGAGACGUCUCAGACCCGAAUAAAUAUUAAAAGACAAGUUUGGUGCACGAAACAAGAUUCUGAUGUGAUGCAUUGUGCUUGCGUACGGUGGAUUUAGCCAUUCUUUCUUAAAAAUCCGGAUUCGACUCAAUUUAGCAUUUGCUCCAAAAUAAUAAUAAUAAUAAUAAUAAUAAUAUAUUAGUCUAACCUGGACAUACAUCGCCAUGUCCAUCAUAUGCCCAAAAGAUGUUGGAGGUUGAUGCGGAAGAGGCACGUCUUCGGUGUGUUUUCAUGUUGUGCUCGAUCACCUGCGCAAAGAACGUGUUCAGUGUGUUUUCAUGUACAACAACAACGUCGAGCUCGCACUGCAACAGUAACCGUAACGUUCCAGUGCACUGUACUGAUACAGUGCACUGCUACAGUCGGACCGGUAGCGUUACACUGUAGCAGUGCCGUUAGCCUAUCGGACCGUACCGCCCGUACCGGGCGGUACGAUUCGGUAUGGCAGACUCGUCACUCCAACAAAAGUUUUGCUUCGUCAAACAUUCAAUCUCCAAAACACAUUGUUCCACCUGCACCUCUUUAAUACUAAAUGCAUAAAUACUAUGCACCUGCAAGAAACAGCAUAACACACAAGCUUCCCAAGCUUAGCAAGUCCAUGACAGCGUUAGCAAUACUCUAUAUCCUUGUUAGUAUCGUUGCAACCAGUGAGGCUAUCAGAAGAGAUGACUUCCCCAGUGGUUUCGUUUUCGGAACAGCUUCUUCAGCUUACCAGGUGUGAGGUCAUGCAGAAAUGUCUCUUUUACAUUCAGCUGCAUCUUGCUCUGCACAAGUUAAUGGAGUUGCUGAUAACCUUAGUUUGAAGGAGCUGCUGGUGAGGGGAACAGGGGAAAAAGUAUAUGGGAUACUUUCACAAGACGACCAGGUAUGACUUGCGUUGAGAGAGACAAAAGCACUCAUAUUCUGAAUUCUGUUUCGUAAGCUUGAAAGUGUUUUUGGCAGGGAGGAUUUUGGACUUCAGCAAUGCAGAUGUGGCAGUCGAUCAGUACCAUCGGUACAAGGUGAACUCUGGAAUACUCAGAUCAUUCAUGAGUAGUCAUCUGUGGAUGUUCCAUGUUAGAUUCUGUUAAAAAUAUAGAUCAUUAGAUCAUGUCCCAUCUACAAGCAUAAGAUUUUAGAUGGAAUGACAUUGAUUAAAAUUUAAAAUGGUAUCAAUGAUCAAAGUUAAAGAUCCAUAGUUCAAAUCUCAACAUGACCAUCUUAUAAGAAAAGUCCUAAUUAAGAGACACAUAUUGAAUCGAGUCAUCCGUGGCCUACAUGUUAUUUCCAAUUUAUUUGUACAUUUGAUGACUUACCAACACGAUAUACUUUGAUUAGCUCGAGUUUUGCAUGAAUUUUAAAUUUAUUUUGUUUUUUAUUGUCAAGAGCAACUCCUAGUGGUUCUGAAAUAGAAAAAAGUCCCCUUCUUCAUGGACUCUUAAGGGAUCAUCAGUAGCUUUUAGAUCAUGCACUGUUUAAUCCAAUAGCUAAAUACUGAAAGUAAGAUUGGUGCAAAUGAAAGAUAACUCGUAAAAGAUUGCCUUACCACAAAAGAAGCAUUGUUCUUGCUGAUAUGUACCAGAAGACUAUUUUUUAUCUCAUAGAUAGUGUUCAAGUCUAAGAUGCUGCAUUCUUCUCAUAAGUCCAUAAGAGUCAAUGCAUAGUCAAGGUGGAACUUGAUGGAUUCCAUGGCCGAUAAUCUUAUGAUCCAGAAAGUUAAACAUCUGAAAGAUGCACGAUAAUUAAUUUCCCUAUUUACAUAAGAAGAAGAUUUGAUUUUUCUGACAUUGUUAGGACAUACUAUUUAGUCAACGGUAAUCGUGUGGAAGAGCAUUUAAUUGUACUCGAGCUAGCAGAAACCUAUCCUACUAGUACCUAUAUUAGUUGGUUGAGCCACAACACUUGUUUAUACUUUAAGGCUGAAAGUUCAGUCUCUAAAUCAACCAUAACACUUAGAAAAUAAAAUAAAAUCAACAAAAAAGGUUCAAAAGUAAACUAAGGGGAAAAAAAGAUGAAAGAGGUGCAAAAAUAAGCUGAGCACUCAAAUAGGGAACUAACAUCAUCAAAUACCAUUCUCCUGAUCAAUUUCUGUGGACAUAGAUAAGCGAAGGGAAGUUUUCACUUAUCAACUUGUCCUGUAGCUAUUUUAUCUUAAAAAUGCCUCUCAGUUACAUGAUUUAUUUCUCUGUAGGGUGGGUCUCCACUCAAGAACUGUUAGUAUUUAAUGAGCAAAUUCUGUUGUCAAGAGAACUGACAUGUUCCCUCUUGGAUCAAAACCUCAUCAUAGGCAAAAUUCUUAGUUGAUCAUUUGAGUGUCUUGAAAAUCUCAUCUAAAAAUGUUAAGGCUUUUUAUGCUUUUGGAUCAGAAACCUUUUAUUGCAAAUCAAAGGUGAACUUUUUGCAAUAAAAGUUCUGCCUUAACCUUAGUCUCCUUUUUUUUUAAACUUCAAAAAUCAUAUGACUGAUGGCCGUUCUCGUAGCAAACUCAAAACUUCUGUUUCACUCAACCAAUUCAUUUUGGAAGAUCUCAUGAGACACAAAAGUUCAAGAUUAUCUAAAAAACUGUAAAAUACUGCAUUGUGUAAAAUAAUCUAAAAUUUGCCCAAACACAACAAAUCGAAAACCAUCAGGCUUUUGUCAUCACCACCAUAAAGCACAUAUGUAAUCAUUUAAUGCUUUGUCAAGACAAUAUUCAUGUGUUAGAGAGAUUGAAGGAAGAUUAAUGAAAAGAACGCCCGGCUAAAAGUUGUUCAAGAAUAGUGGCAUUAACUUUCUUGACUCUCUUCUUUCCUAGCUCCUUCCUUUUUCUUUUGAGACACCUUCAGAUGGAAGUCUACAUGAUUAACUCAAAGUAUUUGUUGAUCAAAAUUUUUCCAACCAUGUUUGUGAGCUUCGUAAACCAAUCCAUGGUCUCAAGCAGGCUUCACGUGAGAAUAGUCCCAUGUUGCUAAGGACUAAAAGAGUCAAAUGACAUAUAAUGAGUUUGAUCCAUAACUUAGUAAGUUUAAGUUUUGUAAUUGUAUUGGUCUCCGAACUCAUGUACAUUAGCCAUGACUAAAAAAAUCUGAGCCAUGACCGAAAAAAUCUGAGUAUGGUAUCAAAGUUAAGAUUUAUCAAAAUAAUAAUAAUAAACGACUGAAAAAAAAGAGAAGCAACUAGAUAUGGUUGCACCCAAGCGAAAAAAACGUCUACACACAAAAUAACCUAUCCUUAUAAGUAGAAGACAAUUAAGCCACACAUGAAGUUGCACUCAAGUGAAAAAAAAGUCUACAUGAAAUAUGACCUAUCCUUACAAAUAAGUAGAAGACAAUUAAGACACCCAUGAAUAAAAGGGGAUGCUAAGACAAUAUUUAUGAAAGAGAUUGAAAGAGGACUUAAAGAAUAAUCUCAUAUUGUUAAAGUUGAAAGAGUCAACUAAUAUACAUUGGAUUUGGUUCAUAACUUGAUAAGUUUUGCAUUGACGUUCAAUCUCAUGUGCAUCAAACCUGAAUAAUUUGAUUUAGAUUUCUUGUCAAUUUUAAAAUGUCAAUGUCUCCCAUCACUUUUCAUGCACUUGAUUGCUUCACACUCUUGGACUUUUAGAUAAGAUUUUGGUUCUUGCACUGGAUGCCUAGAAUAACCAUCCGCUCUAAUACCGUUAACUAGUAGCUUACAGCAAAAUCAGAGAUUUCGCUCACAUGUUAAUAUUGUCUUGUUAGUAUUCUUAACACAAAAGCCUUGUUUCUUUUCUUCAUAGGCAGAAUGGUGACCAACUUCAGUAAAUAUAUUACCCAUAUCAUUUCAUAAUAGCAAGAUAUAUUAUUCUUUUUGUACAGAGCGACGUGGAUUUGAUGAAGGGCAUGGGAAUGGAUGCCUACAGGUUCUCUAUCUCAUGGUCACGGAUCUUCCCAAGUAAUAUGAAGCUGGCCUAUUGGUACUAGACAUAUUUAAACCCUAUCUUGGAUAAAAUAACAGCCUUUCCUGUUCACAGAUGGAACAGGAGAACCUAAUCAAGAAGGAAUAAGCUACUAUAACAGACUCAUAGACACUCUACUACAAAAAGGUAGCUUUUAAAAAGGUUCUUUGAAGGAUCUCCUGAAGUUUUGAGGCUGAUAACUAUUAUUAUUAUUUUGUUGUUGUUACAGGAAUACAACCUUAUGUUACACUCUUCCACUGGGAUCUUCCACAAGCUCUAGAGGACCGAUACAACGGAUGGCUGAGCCAAGAGAUCAUGUAAGGAUUAUAUCGAAUCUUUAUUUAAUCGGCCACAGUGUUCAGGAAAAGAUAGGUAAAACUCACUCUAAAAUGCAGACAAGAUUUCAAGCAUUACGCCUAUACUUGUUUCAAAGCAUUUGGAGAUAGAGUGAAGCAUUGGAUCACCUUCAACGAGCCUCAUGGAUUCUCAAUUCAAGGAUAUGACACAGGUCUGCAAGCUCCGGGAAGGUGUUCUAUUCUAAUACACAUGCUAUGUCGGAGAGGCAAGUCAUCAAUUGAACCAUAUAUUGUUGCUCACAACAUCCUAUUAUCUCACGCUGCUGCUUUUCAUACAUACAAGCUCAACUUCAAGGUAAACCAUGCUUUUCUUGUCGCAGCCAACUUUUUAUUACUGGUCAAUGAAUAAGAAAAAGCAAGAUAAGAAGCUAACUUUAAUGUGUAGGAAAAGCAAAAGGGUGUUAUUGGAAUUGCUCUUGAUUCCAAGUGGUAUGAACCUAUAUCUGGUGCUAAAGAAGACCUAGAUGCUGCUAAUAGAGCCAUGGAAUUCGAACUAGGAUGGUAAUCUGCUACUGAUUUCUGAAUAUAUGAGAACCCUACUUCAUUGAUUGACAACUUACGGUGACUGUGGAUCCCCAAGCAGGUUCUUGAAUCCUCUUAUCUUUGGGGAUUAUCCUCUCUCCAUGAAGAAUCUUGUACGAAGCAGACUACCCAGAUUUACUAGUGAUGACUCUACGUCAUUGGCUGGUUCUUUGGAUUUUUUAGGCAUAAAUCACUACACCACAUUAUAUGCUCGGAAUGAUCGGACAAGAAUCAGGAAGCUGGUACUGAAUGAUGCAUUAGCUGAUGCACUUGUCAUCACGACAUGUAUGAUAGAGUCACUAAAAUACUUAAUUAAUCUUCAGCGAUAUGGAAUUUAAACUUCUAUAAUGUUUGUAACAGCUUCUCGAAAUGGAGAGAGGAUUGGUGAAAGAGUAAGUCACAAUACUUAUGCUUCUAAUCACUUUUGAACUAAUGCUCAGGUUUAGGAAUCAUCACUUAAUUAUUCUUUCAGGCUGCAUCAGGAUGGCUUCACAUUGUCCCAUGGGGUAUCCGCAAGUCAAUGAAUUAUAUCAAGGAAAACUAUGCGAACCCAUUGGUUAUAAUAACAGAGAAUGGUACAAACAAAGUGAUUGAAUCAGGAAUAUAGCUCUCCUUUUCGAGAAAUCUUACAAGAAACAUUUGGUGUUGUAGGCAUGGAUGAUCCAAAUUUCACUACCCUCGACAAAGCACUGAAGGAUGAUAAGCGGAUACGCUAUCAUGCUGACUACCUCUCAAACCUGCAAGCUGCUAUAUGGUAAUUUACUGUGCAUUAGUUCACCUGAGGGUGUCAGGAUCAGCAUAACAAUCUUCAGCUCCAUUACUUUUUUUCCUACAAUUAACUAAGAUGAAUUAAUGCAGGGAGGACGGUUGCAAUGUACAUGGCUACUUCGUGUGGUCGCUACUAGAUAAUUGGGAAUGGAACUCAGGGUUUACAGUUCGAUUUGGCCUCUACUAUGUCGACUACAAGAGCAACCUAACUAGGAUACCGAAAGCCUCAGUUCAGUGGUUCAAACACGUUCUAGAAAAGAAUGACACGCUUGCGCAGAAAGGAAUCACAUUUAAAGAUCAGAUUGGAUGACUUGUUAAUGUAGAUUCAACAAUUUACCAUCCCUUAUAUAUUUCUCUUGGUUCCAUUGAGCAGUCAAGCAUGAGAAUAGUAAACGCCAAAUGUCUGGGACCAAAGUAACAAGUUCAAAUGCAAUCAAUUUCUUGUGGGAAAUUUGGAAUAUGUAAUCAAUGAAGAGCAUCAAGAACAGAACAACCACUUUUACUGCACUGGAACUAACAGUCUAAAAUCAGAAGCGGAAAUCUCGAUGGAUUCCAAAGCACAAAGAAGGAAUCUCGAUGAAUUUACCUAAAAUUUUGGUGGGAGAAGCGAUUUAGCCUCCUCUUUUCUUGAUCACCCAAUCAACCAAAUCCCUCCCCCGUUUCGUUGCUCAGCCAACUCCAAGACGCCAUCGAAUAGCUUUUAAAGCACUAUUCCGAAUUGGGAUUCAGGGCGAUAUUGCGGCAAACCACGCCAUGUUUUCGAGGCCGACGAAGCGGGGGCGUAAACGGGUCGCAUUAUUAGGAAAAGUAAUCCGAACAAAUUAUUCGUGUU